RNAcentral lists this unclassified non-coding RNA (255 nucleotides) under plant metagenome. Its description in RNAcentral is "partial contains small subunit ribosomal RNA, internal transcribed spacer 1, and 5.8S ribosomal RNA". The stretch from base 1 to 53 matches the Rfam family "Eukaryotic small subunit ribosomal RNA", at positions 1778 to 1831 of the family's 1831-position model. The record is from RNAcentral.
GGAAGUAAAGUCGUAACAAGGUUUCCGUAGGUGAACCUGCGGAAGGAUCAUUAAUGUGUUUGGGCCUCACGGCUCUUCAUUCCGACGCUGUGCGCCUUCGGGCUGCACGCUGAGGGAGCAUAUAUCCACCCCUGUGCACACACACGGUGGCGAGCUGGGUAACGGCUCGCCGCUGAUCUUUACACACGUCUAAAAGUCAUUGUAUGUUUAUUUGAGAUAAAAACACAACUUUCAGCAACGGAUCUCUUGGCUCUC